This 524-nucleotide ribosomal RNA is filed under the name uncultured bacterium. RNAcentral's name for it is "bacterial SSU rRNA". It matches the Rfam family "Bacterial small subunit ribosomal RNA", at positions 17 to 531 of the family's 1533-position model. The record is from RNAcentral.
UCCUGGCUCAGGAUGAACGCUAGCUACAGGCUUAACACAUGCAAGUCGAGGGGCAGCAUGAACUUAGCUUGCUAAGUUUGAUGGCGACCGGCGCACGGGUGAGUAACACGUAUCCAACCUGCCGAUGACUCGGGGAUAGCCUUUCGAAAGAAAGAUUAAUACCCGAUGGCAUAGUUCUUCCGCAUGGUAGAACUAUUAAAGAACUUCGGUCAUCGAUGGGGAUGCGUUCCAUUAGGUUGUUGGCGGGGUAACGGCCCACCAAGCCUUCGAUGGAUAGGGGUUCUGAGAGGAAGGCCCCCCACAUUGGAACUGAGACACGGUCCAAACUCCUACGGGAGGCAGCAGUGAGGAAUAUUGGUCAAUGGACGAGAGUCUGAACCAGCCAAGUAGCGUGAAGGAUGACUGCCCUAUGGGUUGUAAACUUCUUUUAUACGGGAAUAAAGUGAGGCACGUGUGCCUUUUUGUAUGUACCGUAUGAAUAAGGAUCGGCUAACUCCGUGCCAGCAGCCGCGGUAAUACGGAGG